UACGGGGGGGGCAAGCGUUGUUCGGAAUUACUGGGCGUAAAGGGCUCGUAGGCGGCCAACUAAGUCCGACGUGAAAUCCCCAGGCUUAACCUGGGAACUGCGUCGGAUACUGGAUGGCUUGAAUUCGGGAGAGGGAUGCGGAAUUCCAGGUGUAGUGGUGAAAUGCGUAGAUAUCGGGAGGAACACCAGUGGCGAAGGCGGCUUCCUGGCCUGUUCUUGACGCUGAGGCGCGAAAGCUAGGGGAGCAAACGGG
Molecule: ribosomal RNA, 253 nt
Filed under: uncultured bacterium
Lineage: Bacteria
Description: partial 16S ribosomal RNA
Rfam family: Bacterial small subunit ribosomal RNA
Source: RNAcentral